CUGCAAUGUUGAGGCUGCUGAGUCACUCGUGUCUGUCAGUCCUGUACCUCUGGGUAUACUGGACACAAUGUAUCUGGAUCCCUUUGGCACAGGCUGUCUGACCACCAGCUUUCCUUUCCUGGUCUCUGCUAGAAACAGACUGUACCAGUAGGCAUCGUUGGACACCAGAGUGGAGUCUGCGAUGGUGGAGUUCCUCUCACUGAUCACACUGUUCCUGCAGGGAGGAGCCGCUUUGCUGGGCUUGGUUUUCUGACACUUGAGCACGAUGGUGACCAGUAUGGUGAUGAGCAGGAGAAAUGACACCGAGCCCAGACCGAUGACCAAGUACAGGUUCAGGUCAUUGAAGAUGUCGUACGCCAGAGGCACCUCAGUCAUGUCAGCGUAGGCCUUGACAGCAGUCUCCACUGUGGACAGCUUGAUGGUGACUGUAGCAGACAAAGCGGGCUGCCCGUUGUCCUUGGCAACAACAACCAGUCUCUGGUGGCGUGGGUCUCUGUAGCUGAACAUCCUCAUAGUCCGGAUCUCUCCGUUGUACUGGUCCAGACUGAACAAGGUGGCAUCAGUCACCUGCAGAAACUGGUAGGUGAUCCGAGAGUUGUGCACAGAGUCUGUGUCCAAGGCUAUCACCUUGGCAACCAGAGAGCCUUUAUCUGUGGACCUGGGGAUCUUUUCCUCCACCACUGAGCCGUGUGCUCGCCACGGAGACACAAUGACCGGAGCAUUAUCAUUCUGGUCCACAAUGAUGAUGUGGACUGUGACGUUACUGCUGAGAGGAGGAGAGCCAGAGUCUCUGGCCUCAAUGUGGAAAAGAAAGUCCUUCUCAAUCUCAUAGUCAAAAGUUUUGAGUGCGUAAAGAUUUCCGUUCUCUGGAUUGAUGGAGAACAGCAUGGACAUGGAGGUGUUGGCUAUCUCCUUCUCCAGGAUGAAAUAAACUAGAUACUGGUUUUCAUGGAGGUCAGGGUCAAAGGCAGUGAGGGAGCUGAGCAGGGCUCCAGGUGCGUUAUUCUCCAUCACACGGAUGGUAUAAAAUGACUGAGGGAACUGUGGGACAUUGUCGUUGACAUCCAGCAGCUCUAAGGUCAUAGUUUCAUUGUCAGAUAAAGGAGGAGAACCUCUGUCUGUCACAGUGAAGGUGAUGUCAUAUUCUGGAACCUUCUCACGGUCUAAGGGCUCUGACACCACUAACUCAUAAUAGUUAUCAGAGGACUCUCUCAGUUUGAAAGGCAUAUUAUCUGGAAUAUGAAGAUCAACCACUCCAUUAUCACCAGAGUCUUUAUCACUCACACUAACCACAGCUAUCACUGUGUCUAGUUCUAUGUUUUCAUUGACUGGACUCUGAAAUGAUUUAAUAGAUAUUUCUGGAUGGUUAUCAUUCAUGUCUUCUACCAGAAUCUUUAUGGUACACUGUCCUGACAAACUGUUGGCUCCUUUGUCAGUAGCUAUAAUCUCCAUAUCAUAAAUCCUGAAAUCCUCAUAAUUCAGCAUGCCUUUAACAGUGAUUUCACCAGUGGAGGGAUUCAGGUGAAAUGUUUCCUGUGUUUUCUCUGAAGUGUAUAAACUGUAAGAGUAAGUUACAUCAGAGUUAGAUCCCUCAUCUAGGUCUGUGGCGUUCAGGUGAAUGACAAUACUUCCUAUGGGAGAGUUUUCCAUUAUUUUUACAGUGUUAUUAGUUCUGUCAAAAGUAGGUGCGUUAUCAUUUGUGUCCAAAACAUGAACUAUUACACUUGCAGUACCAGAUCGAGCCGGUGUUCCUCCAUCUACAGCUGUAAGUAUUAAAUUAUGAACAGCCUCCUGCUCUCGAUCUAAAGCCUUAAUCAAAAUUAAAUCGGCAAAUUUCGACCCAUCUCUGCCAGUUUGCACUUCAAUGUCAAAAUAUUGACUGUAACUUAGACGGUAUGUUUUAACUGAAUUACCUCCUAUGUCAGGAUCGACCGCAUUGCUGAGGGAAAAUCGUUCUCCCUUUGGCGUAGAUUCAGAGAUAUCUAGAUGAAUGGCGUCUCUUCUAAAUUGAGGGGCGUUGUCGUUCAUAUCUAAUAUUUCUACUUCUAUGUUGAAAAUUCGAAGCGGAUUCUCGAGAAUAACUUCUAGUUUGAGAUAGCAAGUCGCUGACGUCUUGAAAGGGCAAAGGUGUUCUCUGUCUAUCUUUUCCACAACGUACAGCUCACCAGUCUCUUUGUUCACAUCCAGAUAUUUCUUAUUUGCGAUUAUGUCGAGCCGCAUCUUCCGCUGUUUCAGUGUUUUCACAUCCAAGCUCAGAUCGGCGGCAAGGUUUGCAACAAUUGAUCCUUCUUUCAUUUCCUCUGGUAUUGAAUAAUGAGUCACUGAGGAUGAUAUUAUUCCAACGAAAGUGAAAAGAACAGCGAACAGCACGUACCUCCUGUAGGGCUCCAUUGCUACAAAGCGUCCUAUUGUUGUGUGAACGUGCUGAACUCUGAACGAUUAAAAUCUAUUUUCUGGAAACAUCAGAAAUUACUGUGACCGCAACGAUCGUAUACAUGAUGCCACUGAACUACUCCCGAGCACACUCGUGCGUUAUUAAGGUAAAACGCAUAGUCCGGUUAGAGUUUCAGCACCACGGAGCUGUCCGAUCGUCUAAAGCACUGAUGAAAACCCACUCGUGUCAUGGCGUUUAGGGUCGGCAUUUAAUUUUGAAAACAGCGCCACCCUCCAAUUUUUAGAGAAAUAUUUGCACAAAGAGUGAAGAUUGAAUAAACAGAGGUUUAAAAUGUGUCACUACAUUGUUGUUUUUUUCUUUCCUAUAUAGAGGCAACGGCUGAAUAAUGUUGAAUACAGUCAUUCUCUCGACUUGCACAUUGGAAUUCAUGAAUGUAAAGAUAUUUAGAAUAAAAUAUUAAUUUAGACCCUAAAACUGGAGUAAAAAAACAGAAAAAUUAUGUUUUGUUUUUAAAUACAUCACUGGGUUCAAUCUAAUCAAGAACAGCUCAACACUGUGUUACUUUAGCCCGGUAUUAUGUUUGACGUAUUCACCCCAGUUGCUUGUUUAUUUUACAGGUUAUCAUACUAAAGGGGUGGGGUGAGUAAGAUGAAGCUAUUAUAUAGAGUUAAUGAACUCAGUAAAACACUUAAUUGUCAAGAUAAUGUUCGAAAUAUUCAUAUACUGUACUUAAAGUCAUGUACGGUGCAUAACUAUUUUAAUGACCUUUCAUAAAAAUCUAAAAACUAACUCUACCUUAUAAAAGCAUUCCCUUAAUCAUGACAGUAAAACUGUGCUUUUCAAAAACACUCUUUAAAACAGCAAAUGCAAAGUUGCUCUAAUAUCUGUCCUGUCUGUCUAACAAAUGCUAUAGAGGAGCACGGCUGGUCAUCUGUAAGUAUCAGAGUGGAGGGGUACAGACACCCUCAAGUUUAAAGCAAUAUGUUUGAGCCUGUCUGAGGAGGGAAAGAUACUAAAGAUCAUAUUCAAAAGUAAUGGAUAUGCAGGAUUCAAGUAUACUGAGGUUAUAUGUUAUAAUCUUAAAAUUGAAUUAGAUUUCUUCCCUUGGAAAGGAGAGCUGCACUUUCAUCCUUGAGCAAAUCUAGAGAAUAUCUGAUGGAUGUAUUGUUGAGUGUUGAUCACAGAAAGUCAGUGCUUCACUUAAGUCACAUUACAUCAGUCUGUUCACCAUCUAUCUCUUUUACCUGUUGUCUCUAUUAUGCUGUUUGCAUUAAAUAGACUAUGUUUAGUUUUCAUUCUCUAGUCUUUUGACCACCCAAAGCACUUUUACAUGACAUGUCAAAUUCAUCAAUUCACACCACAUUCACACACAAAUAGCGAAGGCUGCUCUGGCUCCCAUGCAUGAAAAUUGUUUAUUCUUCCCUUCUCUGAUUUUAACUUUGCCUUUUAAAUCUUAAAGAGAAAGGUGCUGGGUUUUUAGUGGUACAGGCAAAACAUUUACUGUUAACACUGCAGCUGUUUGCAUUUGAUUUCAAUUUCAGUUUUUAACUGUCACUGGGAGGAAUCAAACACAGGACCAGACAGAUAGGUUGAACUAUAACAACCCACCUCAAUUCAAAUAGCACAGAAAUUGGCCAUCAAGGUUGAAACAGCCUGAAGUAAAAUUAAGAUAAACAGCAUUUAAAAAAAUUGCAAGAAAAAUGUAAGUCAGACUUGUACCUGCAGAGUGGAGGCUGCUGAGUCACUAGUAUCUGUCAGUCCUGUACCUCUGGGUAUACUGGACACAAUGUAUCUGGAUCCCUUUGGCACAGGCUGUCUGACCACCAGCUUUCCUUUCCUGGUCUCUGCUAGAAACAGACUGUACCAGUAGGCAUCAUUGGACACCAGAGUGGAGUCUGCGAUGGUGGAGUUCCUCUCACUGAUCACACUGUUCCUGCAGGGAGGAGCCGCUUUGCUGGGCUUGGUUUUCUGACACUUGAGCACGAUGGUGACCAGUAUGGUGAUGAGCAGGAGAAAUGACACCAAGCCCAGACCGAUGACCAAGUACAGGUUCAGGUCAUUGAAGAUGUCGUACGCCAGAGGCACCUCAGUCAUGUCAGAGUAGGCCUUGACAGCAGUCUCCACUGUGGACAGCUUGAUGGUGACUGUAGCAGACAAAGCGGGCUGCCCGUUGUCCUUGGCAACAACAACCAGUCUCUGGUGGCGUGGGUCUCUGUAGCUGAACAUCCUCAUGGUCCGGAUCUCUCCGUUGUACUGGUCCAGACUGAACAAGGUGGCGUCGGUCACCUGCAGAAACUGGUAGGUGAUCCGAGAGUUGUGCACAGAGUCUGUGUCCAAGGCUAUCACCUUGGCAACCAGAGAGCCCUUAUCUGUGGACCUGGGGAUCUUUUCCUCCACCACUGAGCCAUGUGCUCGCCAUGGAGACACAAUGACCGGAGCGUUAUCAUUCUGGUCCACAAUGAUGAUGUGGACUGUGACGUUACUGCUGAGAGGAGGAGAGCCAGAGUCUCUGGCCUCAAUGUGGAAAAGAAAGUCCUUCUCAAUCUCAUAGUCAAAAGUUUUGAGUGCGUAAAGAUUUCCGUUCUCUGGAUUGAUGGAGAACAGCAUGGACAUGGAGGUGUUGGCUAUCUCCUUCUCCAGGAUGAAAUAAACUAGAUACUGGUUUUCAUGGAGGUCGGGGUCAAAGGCAGUGAGGGAGCUGAGCAGGGCUCCAGGUGCGUUAUUCUCCAUCACACGGAUGGUAUAAAAUGACUGAGGGAACUGUGGGACAUUGUCGUUGACAUCCAGCAGCUCUAAGGUCAUAGUUUCAUUGUCAGAUAAAGGAGGAGAACCUCUGUCUGUCACAGUGAAGGUGAUGUCAUAUUCUGGAACCUUCUCACGGUCUAAGGGCUCUGACACCACUAACUCAUAAUAGUUAUCAGAGGACUCUCUCAGUUUGAAAGGCAUAUUAUCUGGAAUAUGAAGAUCAACCACUCCAUUAUCACCAGAGUCUUUAUCACUCACACUAACCACAGCUAUCACUGUGUCUAGUUCUAUGUUUUCAUUGACUGGACUCUGAAAUGAUUUAAUAGAUAUUUCUGGAUGGUUAUCAUUCAUGUCUUCUACCAGAAUCUUUAUGCUACAUUGUCCUGACAAACUGUUGGCUCCUUUGUCAGUAGCUAUAACUUCCAUAUCAUAAAUCCUGAAAUCCUCAUAAUUCAGCAUGCCUUUAACAGUGAUUUCACCAGUGGAGGGAUUCAGGUGAAAUGUUUCCUGUGUUUUCUCUGAUGUGUAUAAACUGUAAGAGUAAGUUACAUCAGAGUUAGAUCCCUCAUCUAAGUCUGUGGCAUUCAGGUGAAUAACAAGACUGCCAAUAGGAGAAUUUUCCAUAAUCUUUAUAGUAGAACUUGCUCUGUCAAAAGUAGGUGCAUUAUCAUUGGUGUCUAAAACGCGAACUAUUACACUUGCAGUGCCUGAACGAGCCGGUGUUCCUCCAUCUACAGCUGUGAGUAUUAAAUUAUGAGUAGCAUGCUGCUCUCGAUCCAAUUUCUUUUUUAAGAUUAAUUCGGCAAAUUUCGACCCAUCUCGUCCAGUCUGUAUUUCAAUAUUAAAUUGCUCACUUUCACUUAGAUGAUAUGUUUUAACAGAAUUAAUUCCAACAUCGGGAUCAACUGCGUUGCUGAGAGAAAAUCUCUCUCCUACAGGCGUCGCUUCAGAAAUGUCUAGAUGAAUGACGUCUCUUCUGAACUGAGGGGCGUUGUCAUUUAUAUCUAAAAUUUCCACUUCUAUAUUGAAAAUUCGUACUGGAUUAUCAAGGAUUAUUUCCAGUUUGAGAUAGCAAGACACUGACGAUUUAGUGGUGCAAAUGUAUUCUCUGUCAAUUUUCUCGACAACGUACAGCUCACCAGUCUCUUUGUUCACAUCCAGAUAUUUCUUAUUUGCAAUGAUGUCGAGCCGCAUCCUCCGCUGGUUCAGUGUUUUAACGUCCAAGCUCAGAUCGGCGGCAAGGUUUGCAACAAUUGAUCCUUCUUUCAUUUCCUCUGGUAUUGAAUAAUGAGUCACUGAGGACGAUAUUUUCCCAACGAAAGUGAAAAGAACACCGAACAGCACGUACCUCCUGUAGGGCUCCAUUGCUACAAAGCGUCCCAUUGUUGUGUAGACGUACUGCACUCUGAACGAUUAAAAUCUAUUUUCUGGAAUUAUGUAAAUAUUACUGUAACCGCAUCGAUCGUGUACAUGAUGCCACUGAACUACUCCCGAGCACACUCGUGUAUUUUUAAGGAACAGCGAAUAGUCCGGUUAGAGUUUCAGCACCACGGAGCUGUCCGAUCGUCUGAAGCACUUAUGAAAACCCACUCGUGUCAUGGCGUUUAGGGGUCGGCACUUAAUUUUGAAAACAGCGCCACCCUCCAAUUUUUAGAGAAAUAUCUGCACAAUAAGUGGGGAUUAAAUACACAGGGGUUAAAGUGUGUCACUAUGUUGUUUUUCCCAAUAUAGAUGCCAAGGCUACGUUUUAAAUUCUUUCACUCUGUUGAUUUACACAUAGGAAUUAAUGAAUGUUUAGAUAUUAUACAUAAAAUAUCAAUUUAUACCCUAAAACUCGGGAGUAAAACACAAACAAACAAUGUGUUGUUUUUAGCCCACCACUGCGUUAAGUCCAAUCAGGACCAGCCUAACACUGGGCUUCUCUACCACAACAAGAUGUGCGACAAAUUCACAGAGAUGCAUGUUUUUCAUACACAAAUAGCAGAGGCUGCUUUGGCUUACAUUUGUGGAAAUUCUUUGUACUUUCCAUCUCUUAUUUUACCUCAGUACUGUCCUCUUUGAGCUUUUAAAGGCAUAGUUUUCAGCGGUACAGGCAAAAAAAAAUUGACUGUUAACCCUGCAGCUGUGUACUUUUGAAUUCUCUCUCAAUUUUUAUAGUCAAAAAGGAGAAUCAAACACGUGACCAGGCAGAUGGGUUAAACUACAACAAUCCACUUCCACUCAGAUUGCACAAAAAUUAGCUACAAGGUUGAAACACCAUAAAGUCAAAUUAACAUAACUGGCAUAUCAGAGUUUACAAAAGCAAAGUAAGUUAGACUUGUACCUGCAAUGUUGAAGCUGCUGAGUCACUAGUAUCUGUCAGUCCUGUACCUCUGGGUAUACUGGACACAAUGUAUCUGGAUCCCUUUGGCACAGGCUGUCUGACCACCAGCUUUCCUUUCCUGGUCUCUGCUAGAAACAGACUGUACCAGUAGGCAUCAUUGGACACCAGAGUGGAGUCUGCGAUGGUGGAGUUCCUCUCACUGAUCACACUGUUCCUGCAGGGAGGAGCCGCUUUGCUGGGCUUGGUUUUCUGACACUUGAGCACGAUGGUGACCAGUAUGGUGAUGAGCAGGAGAAAUGACACCGAGCCCAGACCGAUGACCAAGUACAGGUUCAGGUCAUUGAAGAUGUCGUACGCCAGAGGCACCUCAGUCAUGUCAGAGUAGGCCUUGACAGCAGUCUCCACUGUGGACAGCUUGAUGGUGACUGUAGCAGACAAAGCGGGCUGCCCGUUGUCCUUGGCAACCACAACCAGUCUCUGGUGGCGUGGGUCUCUGUAGCUGAACAUCCUCAUGGUCCGGAUCUCUCCGUUGUACUGGUCCAGACUGAACAAGGUGGCGUCAGUCACCUGCAGAAACUGGUAGGUGAUCCGAGAGUUGUGCACAGAGUCUGUGUCCAAGGCUAUCACCUUGGCAACCAGAGAGCCUUUAUCUGUGGACCUGGGGAUCUUUUCCUCCACCACUGAGCCAUGUGCUCUCCAUGGAGACACAAUGACCGGAGCGUUAUCAUUCUGGUCCACAAUGAUGAUGUGGACUGUGACGUUACUGCUGAGAGGAGGAGAGCCAGAGUCUCUGGCCUCAAUGUGGAAAAGAAAGUCCUUCUCAAUCUCAUAGUCAAAAGUUUUGAGUGCGUAAAGAUUUCCGUUCUCUGGAUUGAUGGAGAACAGCAUGGACAUGGAGGUGUUGGCUAUCUCCUUCUCCAGGAUGAAAUAAACUAGAUACUGGUUUUCAUGGAGGUCAGGGUCAAAGGCAGUGAGGGAGCUGAGCAGGGCUCCAGGUGCGUUAUUCUCCAUCACACGGAUGGUAUAAAAUGACUGAGGGAACUGUGGGACAUUGUCGUUGACAUCCAGCAGCUCUAAGGUCAUAGUUUCAUUGUCAGAUAAAGGAGGAGAACCUCUGUCUGUCACAGUGAAGGUGAUGUCAUAUUCUGGAACCUUCUCACGGUCUAAGGGCUCUGACACCACUAACUCAUAAUAGUUAUCAGAGGACUCUCUCAGUUUGAAAGGCAUAUUAUCUGGAAUAUGAAGAUCAACCACUCCAUUAUCACCAGAGUCUUUAUCACUCACACUUACCACAGCUAUCACUGUGUCUAGUUCUAUGUUUUCAUUGACUGGACUCUGAAAUGAUUUAAUAGAUAUUUCUGGGUGGUUAUCAUUCAUGUCUUCUACCAGAAUCUUUAUGGUACACUGUCCUGAUAAACUGUUGGCUCCUUUGUCAGUAGCUAUAACUUCCAUAUCAUAAAUCCUGAAAUCCUCAUAAUUCAGCAUGCCUUUAACAGUGAUUUCACCAGUGGAGGGAUUCAGGUGAAAUGUUUCCUGUGUUUUCUCUGAUGUGUAUAAACUGUAAGAGUAAGUUACAUCAGAGUUAGAUCCCUCAUCUAAGUCUGUGGCAUUCAGAUGAAUAACAAGACUCCCUAUGGGAGAGUUUUCCAUUAUUUUAAUGUUAUAAUUUACUUUGCUAAACACAGGAGGGUUAUCAUUUGUGUCUGAAACAUGAACUAUCACACUUGCAGUACCAGAUCGAGCCGGUGUGCCUCCAUCUACAGCUGUGAGAAUCAAAUUAUGAACAGCAUUGUGCUCCCGGUCUAGGGCCUUUGUCAAAAUCAGUUCAGCAAAUUUCGUCCCCUCUCUUCCAGUCUGCACCUCAAUACUAAAAUGUUCACUUUCACUGAGAAGAUACGUUUUUACCGAGUUUGUUCCGACAUCAGGAUCAGCUGCAUUACUCAGAGAGAAUCUCUCUCCUACAGGCGUAGCUUCAGAGAUAUCCAGAUGAAUGGCGUCUCUUCUGAACUGUGGGGCGUUGUCGUUUAUGUCCAGAAUUUCUAAUUCUGUAUUAAAUAUCCUUAAUGGGUUUUCGAGUAUUACCUCCAUUCUAAGAUAGCAAGACGACUUUGCAGGACAGAUGUGCUCUCUAUCUAUCUUCUCAACAAUGUACAAUUCCCCAGUCUCUUUGUUCACGUCCAGAUAUUUCUUAUUUGCAAUGAUGUCGACUCGCAUCUUUCGCUGCGCCAGUGUCUUGACAUCAAUAUUUAGAUCGCCGGCAAUGUUUGCAACAACUGAUCCCUCUUUCAUUUCUUCGGGUAUUGAAUAAUGAGUCACCGAGGACGAUAUUUCACUGAUGAAAGAUGCGACAUGAAGGAGCAGCACGUACCUUAUGAAUGUCUCCAUUGUUACUAAGCGUCCCAUUGUUGUGUCCGCAUGUACUGAACGUUAACCCCGGUAAUAUAAAUUCCCACUGAUAAGGAGAAUUGUUGUAACUUCUUCGAUCCGAUACAUAUUUUUCAAGAAUUCCGAGAGUACUUAAGCAUUGAAGCAAAAAACAAGAACACGUCUCUUGACUGGAGUUUCAGCACCACGAAGCUGUCCGCCUUUUUCACCAUCUGUGCUGAGGUUUUGCUUUCAAAGGGACCACAAGCUUGCAUUUAUCUUUAAAACAGCGCCAUCUUUAGUAUGGAUUGGGGCUGUGUGCAUGAUGGAUUAAUUUAAAAAAACUAUAUUUGAAUUAAAGUGAUCUAUAUUUCUUUUAUUUCUUCGAUUUUUUGUUAUGAUAUUUAAAGUUUGGAAAAAAAUAAUAUCUUAUGAUAUCUUAUUACCUUGUUAUUAUUGCAAUAUCCUAUUGCAUUAAAAAAGUUAAAGUUUCUUGGACUCUUACCUGCAGAGUAGAGGCUGCUGAGUCACUGGUGUCUGUCAGUCCUGUACCUCUGGGUAUACUGGACACUAUGUAUCUGGAUCCCUUUGGCACAGGCUGUCUGACCACCAGCUUUCCUUUCCUGGUCUCUGCUAGAAACAGACUGUACCAGUAGGCAUCAUUGGACACCAGAGUGGAGUCUGCGAUGGUGGAGUUCCUCUCACUGAUCACACUGUUCCUGCAGGGAGGAGCCGCUUUGCUGGGCUUGGUUUUCUGACACUUGAGCACGAUGGUGACCAGUAUGGUGAUGAGCAGGAGAAAUGACACGGAGCCCAGACCGAUGACCAAGUACAGGUUCAGGUCAUUGAAGAUGUCGUACGCCAGAGGCACCUCAGUCAUGUCAGAGUAGGCCUUGACAGCAGUCUCCACUGUGGACAGCUUGAUGGUGACUGUAGCAGACAAAGCAGGCUGCCCGUUGUCCUUGGCAACAACAACCAGUCUCUGGUGGCGUGGGUCUCUGUAGCUGAACAUCCUCAUAGUCCGGAUCUCUCCGUUGUACUGGUCCAGACUGAACAAGGUGGCGUCAGUCACCUGCAGAAACUGGUAGGUGAUCCGAGAGUUGUGCACAGAGUCUGUGUCCAAGGCUAUCACCUUGGCAACCAGAGAGCCUUUAUCUGUGGACCUGGGGAUCUUUUCCUCCACCACUGAGCCGUGUGCUCUCCACGGAGACACAAUGACGGGAGCGUUAUCAUUCUGGUCCACAAUGAUGAUGUGGACUGUGACGUUACUGCUGAGAGGAGGAGAGCCAGAGUCUCUGGCCUCAAUGUGGAAAAGAAAGUCCUUCUCAAUCUCAUAGUCAAAAGUUUUGAGUGCGUAAAGAUUUCCGUUCUCUGGAUUGAUGGAGAACAGCAUGGACAUGGAGGUGUUGGCUAUCUCCUUCUCCAGGAUGAAAUAAACUAGAUACUGGUUUUCAUGGAGGUCAGGGUCAAAGGCAGUGAGGGAGCUGAGCAGGGCUCCAGGUGCGUUAUUCUCCAUCACACGGAUGGUAUAAAAUGACUGAGGGAACUGUGGCGCGUUAUCAUUAACAUCCAGCAGGUGUAGAUGUAUCGUUUCGUUAUCAGAUAAAGGAGGCGUUCCUGCAUCUGUUACAGUCAGCAUGAUGUCAUAUUCAGGUACUAACUCUCGAUCUAAGGGUGCGGACACAAUGAGCUUGUAAUGUAUGGGUCUAUCUGAAGAUUUGUUUAGAAUAAAUGGCAGGUUCUUAUUAAUGGAUAAGCUCACUUCCCCAUUCUCAUUCGUAUCUCUGUCACUUAUACCCACUACAGCAAUAACACUCCCCACAGAGAUGUUUUCAUCCACUGUGUUUUUGACGGACUGUAUAGUAAUUUCCGGAUAAUUAUCAUUCAUAUCGAUCACGUGCACCACUACUUUACACUGACCUAACAAUGGAUGCGCCCCUUUGUCCCUGGCUUCAAUGUGCAUCUCAUAAAUCUUCAUAUCUUCAAAGUCAAUGGUGCCUUUCACAGUUAACUCCCCUGUGUUGGGAUUCAGCGCAAAGACAUCCUGUGUUUUUUCUGACGUGUAAAGAGUGAACGAGUACACGAUUUCUGAAUUAAGACCCUCAUCCAGAUCUGUGGCAUUAAGCUUCAUCACCAAUGUUCCAAUGGGGGAAUUUUCCGUCAUGUUUAUAGUGUAGGUCUGCCGGUCAAAUUGAGGAGGAUUAUCGUUUGUGUCUUGGACAUUCACAAUAAUGUUGGCAGUGCCGGAGCGCACAGGGACCCCGCCAUCCACAGCAGUCAGGAUUAGAUUAUGAACCGCCUGCUUCUCUCUGUCUAAAGAUUUCGCCAACACCAAAUCCACAUACUGAGUUCCAUCACUGCCCGUCUGAAUUUCGAUAGUAAAGUGUUCACUGAGACUGAGUCUGUAUGUUUUUAUCGUAUUUACGCCAACAUCCGGAUCCAUAGCAUUGGGCAGGGAGAAUCUUUCUCCUGGUGUUGCUGAUUCUGAAACGUCGAGCUCUACUCUGUCUCGUCGAAAAUGUGGAGCGUUGUCAUUAAUGUCCGUUAUUCCAAGCUCAAUAUUGAAGAUGCGUAAAGGGCUUUCUAUGAUCACAUCAAGCUUUAGAAAACAGGAUGCUAUUUUAGGACAAAGCUGUUCUCUGUCCAUUUUUUCCACAAUAUACAGCUCCCCCGUCUUUUUAUUGACAUCUAAAUAUUUUUUGUUGUGAAAAAUGUCAAGUUUUACCUCUCGCUGUGCCAAUCCUCCAAGCUCAAGUCCCAAAUCCGCAGCCAGAUUCGCCACAACAGAGCCCCUCUCCAUCUCCUCGGCAAUGGAGUAACGAGUCACAGACAAAGCUCUGGGCCAUGUUGAACACAAGACAAAGACAGUGGUCCAAAAAUGCAUCCUUUUGUCUGCAGCAAACAUACACUCCAUAGAAUAAAUAUUUGUGAUGCUUUUAAUGGCAUCAGAUAUCUGACAAAAUGUCCUGAAUCAUGUGUGUGGGUCGUGUUGCUAAUUUUGAAAUAGUUUAUCUCCCAAAAACCCGCAUCCAGCCCCUUAGAAAUGGGUGUG
Molecule: long non-coding RNA, 12879 nt
Filed under: Xyrichtys novacula (pearly razorfish)
Lineage: Eukaryota; Metazoa; Chordata; Actinopteri; Labriformes; Labridae
Source: RNAcentral